RNAcentral lists this ribosomal RNA (497 nucleotides) under uncultured bacterium. Its description in RNAcentral is "partial 16S ribosomal RNA". It matches the Rfam family "Bacterial small subunit ribosomal RNA", at positions 28 to 507 of the family's 1533-position model. The record is from RNAcentral.
GAUGAACGCUGGCGGCGUGCCUAAUACAUGCAAGUCGAGCGGACAGACGAGGAUCUUGCUCCGCUGACGUGAGCGGCGGGCGUGUGAGUAACACGUGUAUAACCUACCUAUAAGACUGGGAUAACUUCGGGAAAGCGGAUCUAAUACCGGAGAAGAUAUUGAACCGCGGGGGGCAAUAGUGAGAGACGGUUGUGCUGUCACUUAUAGAGGGAUCCGCGCCGCAUGAGCUAGUUGGUAAGGUAACGGCUUACCAAGGCAACGAUGCGUAGCCGACCUGAGAGGGUGAUAGGCCACACUGGAACUGAACCACGGUCAUGACUACUACGGGACGCAGCAGUAGGGAAUCUGACGCAAUGGGCGAAAGCCUGACGGAGCAAGGCCGAGCGAGUGACGAAGGUCUUCGGAUCGUAAAACUCUGUUAUUAGGGAAGAACAAAUGUGUAAGUAAAUAUGCCCGUAUUGACGGUAACUAAUAAGGAAGCAACGGCUAACUACGUG